GGCGAACGGGUGAGUAACACGUGAGGAACCUGCCCCGAAGACCGGGACAACAUCGGGAAACCGUUGCUAAUACCGGAUGCCCUCGAAGAAUCGCAUGGUUCAUCGAGGAAAUGGAUUCCGCUUCGGGAUGGCCUCGCGGCCUAUCAGCUUGUUGGUGAGGUAACGGCUCACCAAGGCUUCGACGGGUAGCUGGUCUGAGAGGAUGUCCAGCCACACUGGGACUGAGACACGGCCCAGACUCCUACGGGAGGCAGCAGUUAGGAAUCUUGCGCAAUGGACGAAAGUCUGACGCAGCGACGCCGCGUGCGGGAUGAAGGCCCUCGGGUUGUAAACCGCUUUCAGCAGGGACGAAAUUGACGGUACCUGCAGAAGAAGCCCCGGCCAACUACGUGCCAGCCGCCGCGG
This 405-nucleotide ribosomal RNA is filed under the name uncultured bacterium. RNAcentral's name for it is "bacterial SSU rRNA". It matches the Rfam family "Bacterial small subunit ribosomal RNA", at positions 97 to 520 of the family's 1533-position model. The record is from RNAcentral.